RNAcentral lists this unclassified non-coding RNA (206 nucleotides) under Hevea brasiliensis (rubber tree). The record is from RNAcentral. Lineage: Eukaryota; Viridiplantae; Streptophyta; Magnoliopsida; Malpighiales; Euphorbiaceae.
UUCCGGUAGAGUUGGCACAUCCGGCAAUGGCGGUAAGGUGAUCUUGGGAAUGCUGGGCUCCGGUAGUGUUGGAACUUUGGGUAGCGUUGGCACUUCCGGUAAUGUCCCUUUGUCGUCAGCGCCCAACAAACCACGAGUGGCAUGGCACACAGAGACAUUACCGAGCAACAAGAAUGCAAUUCCCAUAGCUAGCAGGAAAAUGUGGG